This 686-nucleotide ribosomal RNA is filed under the name uncultured eukaryote. RNAcentral's name for it is "SSU rRNA". It matches the Rfam family "Eukaryotic small subunit ribosomal RNA", at positions 21 to 691 of the family's 1831-position model. The record is from RNAcentral.
UAAUCAUAUGCUUGUCUCAAAGAUUAAGCCAUGCAUGUCUAAGUACAAGCCGCUUUAGCGGCGAGACUGCGGACGGCUCAUUAAAUCGGUUAUGACUCCACUGGGGCCCGACUCUCCACGUGGAUAACGUGCGGUAACUCCGGUGCUAAUACAUGCAACAAGGCUCCGACCGCGGCUUCGGCCGCGGGAAGGGCGCACUUAUUAGGCGAAAACCAAUCGGCUUCGGCCGUUGGUGGACGACACCCGAGUAAUUGCCGCCGAUCGCACGGCCUCGAGCCGGCGACGCCUCCACUGAGUUUCUGAUCUAUCAUGCUGUCGACGGUUGGUGCUAUGCCAACCGUGGCGCUAACGGAUAACAGAGAACCUGGGUUCGAUUCUGGAGAGGCCGCAUGAGAAGCGGCGACCACUUCCAAGGAAGGCAGCAGGCACGCAAAUUACCCACUUCGGACACCGGGAGGUAGUGACGAACAAUACCGAUGCGGUGCACUUACGUGUCGCCGUAAUCGGAAUGAGUACACUUCAAAUCCUUUAACGAGGAUCCACUGGAGGGCAAGCCUGGUGCCAGCAGCCGCGGUAAUUCCAGCUCCAGCAGCGUAUAUUUAUAUUGCUGCGUUUAAAAAGCUCGUAGUUGAAGCGUCAGACGCGGGGGGACGGACGGCCGCACUGGUCGCUUCUCGUCCGACCGA